ACCUGGGUGGCUCAGUUGCUUAAGCGUCUGACUUUGGCUCAGGUCAUGAUCUCGUGGUUCAUGGGUUCGAGCCCCACCUCGGGCU
This 85-nucleotide transfer RNA is filed under the name Felis catus (domestic cat). It matches the Rfam family "tRNA". Rfam says of the family: Transfer RNA (tRNA) molecules are approximately 80 nucleotides in length. Their secondary structure includes four short double-helical elements and three loops (D, anti-codon, and T loops). Further hydrogen bonds mediate the characteristic L-shaped molecular structure. tRNAs have two regions of fundamental functional importance: the anti-codon, which is responsible for specific mRNA codon recognition, and the 3' end, to which the tRNAs corresponding amino acid is attached (by aminoacyl-tRNA synthetases). tRNAs cope with the degeneracy of the genetic code in two manners: having more than one tRNA (with a specific anti-codon) for a particular amino acid; and 'wobble' base-pairing, i.e. permitting non-standard base-pairing at the 3rd anti-codon position. The record is from Rfam by way of RNAcentral. Lineage: Eukaryota; Metazoa; Chordata; Mammalia; Carnivora; Felidae.